UAUGGAAAAGGUAUACCAUCAAAUAACUUUGAGAAACGUCGGUUGGUGGCAUUUUGCAACGGCAAAUUCGAUAUCCGGAGAUUGCUUGUCAGCUUGAAGGCAAAGAUCAUCUGCCUAUGCUGCUCAGAAUGUGGACAUUCACCUAUACAGAGGAGAAUGACCAUUGGUUUGCUUGGUCAGCACUUCCUAAAGGCACUCACUCUUGCUUAUCUUGCUUCGUACAGGCUUGGUCACCACUUCCUAAAGGUAUGUCAAACCACCUAA
RNAcentral lists this long non-coding RNA (264 nucleotides) under Oryza sativa aromatic subgroup. RNAcentral describes it as "lncRNA OsARC_08g0012560". The record is from RNAcentral. Lineage: Eukaryota; Viridiplantae; Streptophyta; Magnoliopsida; Poales; Poaceae.